AGGACGAACGCUGGCGGCGUGCUUAACACAUGCAAGUCGAGCGGGCGUAGCAAUACGUCAGCGGCAGACGGGUGAGUAACGCGUGGGAACGUACCUUUUGGUUCGGAACAACCCAGGGAAACUUGGGCUAAUACCGGAUAAGCCCUUACGGGGAAAGAUUUAUCGCCGAAAGAUCGGCCCGCGUCUGAUUAGCUAGUUGGUGAGGUAAUGGCUCACCAAGGCGACGAUCAGUAGCUGGUCUGAGAGGAUGAUCAGCCACAUUGGGACUGAGACACGGCCCAAACUCCUACGGGAGGCAGCAGUGGGGAAUAUUGGACAAUGGGCGCAAGCCUGAUCCAGCCAUGCCGCGUGAGUGAUGAAGGCCCUAGGGUUGUAAAGCUCUUUUGUGCGGGAAGAUAAUGACGGUACCGCAAGAAUAAGCCCCGGCUAACUUCGCGCCAGCAGCCGC
This 448-nucleotide ribosomal RNA is filed under the name uncultured bacterium. RNAcentral describes it as "SSU rRNA". It matches the Rfam family "Bacterial small subunit ribosomal RNA", at positions 26 to 518 of the family's 1533-position model. The record is from RNAcentral.